RNAcentral lists this ribosomal RNA (266 nucleotides) under uncultured prokaryote. RNAcentral describes it as "partial 16S ribosomal RNA". It matches the Rfam family "Bacterial small subunit ribosomal RNA", at positions 524 to 788 of the family's 1533-position model. The record is from RNAcentral.
UACGGAGGAUCCGAGCGUUAUCCGGAUUUAUUGGGUUUAAAGGGUGCGUAGGUGGAUUGGUAAGUCAGUGGUGAAAGUUUGCAGCUUAACUGUAAAAUCGCCGUUGAAACUGCCGGUCUUGAGUGCAAAUGAGGUAGGCGGAAUGCGUCGUGUAGCGGUGAAAUGCUUAGAUAUGACGCAGAACUCCGAUUGCGAAGGCAGCUUACUGGGAUGCAACUGACGCUGAGGCACGAAAGCGUGGGUAUCAAACAGGAUUAGAUACCCCU